This 451-nucleotide ribosomal RNA is filed under the name uncultured bacterium. RNAcentral describes it as "partial 16S ribosomal RNA". It matches the Rfam family "Bacterial small subunit ribosomal RNA", at positions 29 to 523 of the family's 1533-position model. The record is from RNAcentral.
AACGAACGCUGGCGGCAGGCCUAACACAUGCAAGUCGAACGCCCGUAGCAAUACGGGAGUGGCAGACGGGUGAGUAACGCGUGGGAACGUACCCUUUGAUUCGGAACAACUCCGGGAAACUGGAGCUAAUACCGGAUGAGCCCUACGGGGGAAAGAUUUAUCGCCGAAGGAUCGGCCCGCGUAGGAUUAGCUAGUUGGUGAGGUAACGGCUCACCAAGGCGACGAGCCGUAGCUGGUCUGAGAGGAUGAUCAGCCACACUGGGACUGCGACACGGCCCAGACUCCUACGGGAGGCAGCGGUGGGGAAUAUUGGACAAUGGGCGCAAGCCUGAUCCAGCCAUGCCGCGUGAGUGAUGAAGGCCUUAGGGUUGUAAAGCUCUUUCGCCAGGGACGAUAAUGACGGUACCUGGAUAAGAAGCCCCGGCUAACUUCGUGCCAGCCGCCGCAGUAA